UCAAUGCAAGCUGUGUGGAAUCAAAGACCCGUAUUGAUGAGGCCAGUGUCAGUGAAGAUGGUGUGGUCACUGGAAUCCUGGUGUUUGUGGGAAAUGUGAAGGAGCUUCUCCCAGGAUUCUACUACAGUGUUGUCCUGAUGACUGAGGUAUUUUUUUUUUUUUACUUUCCUGCCUCUUUGGAACAUGUCCAUUUACGCAUACUGUGUAGAGAUGGUGCGCAGCUUCAUGGACAUUUGAGGUUUUCUGCCGAUGGAGAGCUUCUGGGACAUUGACAUAAACAGCACUUUUUCCUACAACUUCAAAAAAGUUGGUGAUAGACAAUUUUGGUUUCUUGUUUUUGUGCCUUUGGAAU
Molecule: long non-coding RNA, 352 nt
Organism: Megalobrama amblycephala (Wuchang bream)
Lineage: Eukaryota; Metazoa; Chordata; Actinopteri; Cypriniformes; Xenocyprididae
Exons: 3
Source: RefSeq, a predicted model, not a curated record